AAACUUUCAACAACGGAUCUCUUGGUUCUGGCAUCGAUGAAGAACGCAGCGAAAUGCGAUAAGUAAUGUGAAUUGCAGAAUUCAGUGAAUCAUCGAAUCUUUGAACGCACAUUGCGCCCGCCAGUAUUCUGGCGGAAUGCCUGUCC
This 146-nucleotide ribosomal RNA is filed under the name Trichoderma longibrachiatum. RNAcentral's name for it is "5.8S ribosomal RNA". It matches the Rfam family "5.8S ribosomal RNA". From Rfam's summary of the family: 5.8S ribosomal RNA (5.8S rRNA) is a component of the large subunit of the eukaryotic ribosome. It is transcribed by RNA polymerase I as part of the 45S precursor that also contains 18S and 28S rRNA. Lineage: Eukaryota; Fungi; Ascomycota; Sordariomycetes; Hypocreales; Hypocreaceae. The record is from RNAcentral.